AAUAUUGGAGAAUGGGGGCAACCCUGAUCCAGCCAUGCCGCGUGAGUGAAGAAGGUCUUCGGAUGGUAAAGCACUUUAAGAUGGGCGGAAGGGCGUUAGGUUAAUACCGUGAAGCGUUGAAGUUAUUAACAGAAUAAGCACAGGCUACCUCUGGGCAAGCAGCCUCCGUAAUACAGACGGUGCAAGCGUUAAUCGGAAUUACUCGGCGUAAAACGCGCGUAGGUGGUUCAGUAAGAUGGGUGUGAAAACCCCGGGCUUAACCUGGGAACUGCUUUCAUAACUGCUGAGCUAGAGUACGGUAGAGGGUAGUGGAAUUUCCUGUGUAGCGGUGAAAUGCGUAGAUAUAGGAAGGAACACCAGUGGCGAAAGCGACUACCUGGACUGAUACUGACACUGAGGUGCGAAAGCGUGGGGGGCAAAC
This 421-nucleotide ribosomal RNA is filed under the name uncultured bacterium. RNAcentral's name for it is "partial 16S ribosomal RNA". It matches the Rfam family "Bacterial small subunit ribosomal RNA", at positions 360 to 773 of the family's 1533-position model. The record is from RNAcentral.